GACGAAGGGGGCUAGCGUUGUUCGGAAUUACUGGGCGUAAAGCGAGUGUAGGUGGUUGUCGUAGUCAGGCGUGAAAGCCUUGAGCUCAACUCAAGAAAUGCGCUUGAUACUGGGCAGCUAGAGGACCGGAGAGGAUAGUGGAAUUCCCAGUGUAGUGGUGAAAUACGUAGAGAUUGGGAAGAACACCAGUGGCGAAGGCGGCUAUCUGGACGGUUUCUGACACUAAGACUCGAAAGCGUGGGGAGCGAACAGG
Molecule: ribosomal RNA, 253 nt
Filed under: uncultured bacterium
Lineage: Bacteria
Description: partial 16S ribosomal RNA
Rfam family: Bacterial small subunit ribosomal RNA
Source: RNAcentral